GAUUCUGGCUCAGGAUGAACGCUGGCGGCGUGCCUAACACAUGCAAGUCGAACGGGGUUAAGUGAUAUUUCGGAUGGACCUUAACUAGUGGCGGACGGGUGAGUAACGCGUGGAUAACCUGCCUCACACAGGGGGAUAGCAGCUGGAAACGGCUGGUAAUACCGCAUAAGACCACGACCCGCAUGGGGUUGUAGUAAAAGAUUUAUCGGUGUGAGAUGGAUCCGCGUCUGAUUAGCCAGUUGGCGGGGUAACGGCCCACCAAAGCGACGAUCAGUAGCCGGCCUGAGAGGGUGAACGGCCACAUUGGGACUGAGACACGGCCCAGACUCCUACGGGAGGCAGCAGUGGGGAAUAUUGCACAAUGGGCGCAAGCCUGAUGCAGCAACGCCGCCGUGAGUGAAGAAGUAUUUCGGUAUGUAAAGCUCUAUCAGCAGGGAAGAAAGGCUCUUCGGAGAGAUGACGGUACCUGACUAAGAAGCCCCGGCUAACUACGUGCCAGCCGCGGC
RNAcentral lists this ribosomal RNA (506 nucleotides) under uncultured bacterium. RNAcentral describes it as "bacterial SSU rRNA". It matches the Rfam family "Bacterial small subunit ribosomal RNA", at positions 15 to 518 of the family's 1533-position model. The record is from RNAcentral.